AUGCAGUCGAACGAGGACCCUUUGAUUGGUAACUUUCGAAGGACUCCUAGUGGCGAACGGGUGAGUAACACGUGAGCAACCUGCCCCGAAGACCGGGAUAACCCAUGGAAACGUGGAUUAAUACCGGAUACCCUCUAGGGACCGAAUGGCCCCAUGAGGAAAGGCUCCGGCGCUUCGGGAUGGGCUCGCGGCCUAUCAGCUUGUUGGUGAGGUAACGGCUCACCAAGGCUCUGACGGGUAGCUGGUCUGAGAGGACGAUCAGCCACACUGGGACUGAGACACGGCCCAGACUCCUACGGGAGGCAGCAGCAGGGAAUAUUGCACAAUGGGCGCAAGCCUGAUGCAGCGACGCCGCGUGAGGGAUGAAGGCUUUCGAGUUGUAAACCUCUUUCAGUGGGGAAGAAGCGCAAGUGACGGUACCCACACAAGAAGGCCCGGCCAACUACGUGCCAGCAGCCGCGGUAAUACGUAAGGGCCAAGCGUUAUCCGGAUUUAUUGGGCGUAAAGAGCUCGUAGGCGGCUUGGCAAGUCGGUCGUGAAAGUCCGAGGCUCAACCUCGGAAUGCCGGUCGAAACUGCCAUGGCUAGGGUUCGGUAGAGGAGAGUGGAAUUCUCG
Molecule: ribosomal RNA, 615 nt
Filed under: uncultured bacterium
Lineage: Bacteria
Description: bacterial SSU rRNA
Rfam family: Bacterial small subunit ribosomal RNA
Source: RNAcentral